UUCUUUGGGUUUUAUUUUUGUUCUUUUCCCUUGGAUUCUGUUUGUUUUGUUGUUUUUAUUUGUAUUUUUAUUAUUUUAUUUAUAUUCAGGAGUUUUAAUAUUUGAAUGAAUUUUUCAUUUUGGAAAGUCCGGUACGAAUUAAGAUAAUUUAUUAUUCUGUUUAAAUGGAAUAGAAUUUUAUUUAAAGAAAUUUGACAUCUUCUGGCGAAAUAGUUUGUUCUUAUCUUCGUACUUUUUUAGAUAAUAAAUAUUUAACAUAAUCCGGCUUAUAAAAUUCUGAAUA
This 283-nucleotide non-coding RNA is filed under the name Pneumocystis jirovecii. The record is from RNAcentral. Lineage: Eukaryota; Fungi; Ascomycota; Pneumocystomycetes; Pneumocystales; Pneumocystaceae.